AUAUAAUCGCGUGAUAUUCAUCCAUAAGAUUUUGUGGUGCUCAAGACUGAGCAUACUGUCGUCCAAUGGAAGAAAGAUCGACCGAAAGUUGAAGGCGUAAUUGCAGGAGCAAUUUAAAAAAUAUCUCAUGCUGUUAUCCUCAAGUAUAUAUACAUAUAUGUUUGAAUAAUGUGUAUAUAUUUAAAUCAUCGACACUAAUGUAACUCAUUCGAAUAUUAAUGAACUGUAUAACUUUAUUGACCCGCUCUCUGGCUGCGCAAUAAAUAAAUAGAGCCAACUACCUGGAUUUUACGAUCCAUAUAUGGGAGAAGAUAAGCAGCUCUUGGUACAAUAUCUGUUUCAUACUCAAACGCAUGAAUGUAUUAUACGUAAUGAUGCACCCCUCAGGAUACCAAUCUCGUCACAUAAAGUGGAUACCACUUGACAAAUGCGUUCAACAUCAAAAUCAAAACGCAGUCAUCGCCUUCGUCAAUGAUCGGCAUUACUUCAGAGUGUAGAGCUUUUGUUCAAAAAAAAUUCACACAUAUAUG
Long non-coding RNA from Formica exsecta, 530 nucleotides. RefSeq lists it as uncharacterized. The transcript is spliced from 3 exons. NCBI's taxonomy places the organism in Eukaryota, Metazoa, Arthropoda, Insecta, Hymenoptera, Formicidae. The record is from RefSeq and is a predicted model, not a curated record.